This 1468-nucleotide ribosomal RNA is filed under the name uncultured bacterium. RNAcentral's name for it is "bacterial SSU rRNA". It matches the Rfam family "Bacterial small subunit ribosomal RNA". The record is from RNAcentral.
GGCUCAGGACGAACGCUGGCGGCGUGCCUAAUACAUGCAAGUCGAGCGGACCUUUCGGGGUCAGCGGCGGACGGGUGAGUAACACGUGGGCAAUCUGCCCGAUACUCUGGGAUAACACUUGGAAACGAGUGCUAAUACCGGAUGGUCUUCUUGGUCGCAUGGCCGAGAAGGAAAAGACGCGUUCGCGUCGGUGUCGGAUGAGCCCGCGGCGCAUUAGCUAGUUGGCGAGGUAACGGCCCACCAAGGCGACGAUGCGUAGCCGACCUGAGAGGGUGACCGGCCACACUGGGACUGAGACACGGCCCAGACUCCUACGGGAGGCAGCAGUAGGGAAUCUUCCACAAUGGGCGAAAGCCUGAUGGAGCAACGCCGCGUGAGUGAUGAAGGCCUUCGGGUUGUAAAACUCUGUCAUUCGGGACGAACCGGAGUCUGAGGAAAUGCAGACUCUCUGACGGUACCGGAGGAGGAAGCCCCGGCUAACUACGUGCCAGCAGCCGCGGUAAUACGUAGGGGGCAAGCGUUGUCCGGAUUCACUGGGCGUAAAGCGCGCGCAGGCGGUGAUGUAAGUCUGAGGUGAAAACCCGAAGCUCAACUUCGGGACUGCCUUGGAUACUGCGUCACUUGAGGAUAGGAGAGGCAAGGGGAAUUCCACGUGUAGCGGUGAAAUGCGUAGAGGUGUGGAGGAACACCUGGUGGCGAAGGCGCCUUGCUGGCCUAUUUCUGACGCUGAGGCGCGAAAGCGUGGGGAGCAAACAGGAUUAGAUACCCUGGUAGUCCACGCUGUAAACGAUGAGUGCUAGGUGUAGGUGGGCUCAUACCCAUCUGUACCGAAGCUAACGCAUUAAGCACUCCGCCUGGGGAGUACGGUCGCAAGACUGAAACUCAAAGGAAUUGACGGGGGCCCGCACAAGCAGUGGAGCAUGUGGUUUAAUUCGAAGCAACGCGAAGAACCUUACCAGGACUUGACAUCCCAUAGACCAGUCUAGAGAUAGACUUUCCCUUCGGGGCUGUGGUGACAGGUGGUGCAUGGUUGUCGUCAGCUCGUGUCGUGAGAUGUUGGGUUAAGUCCCGCAACGAGCGCAACCCUUACUUUGUGUUGCCAGCAUUCAGUUGGGCACUCACAAGGGACUGCCGCCGAUAAGGCGGAGGAAGGUGGGGAUGACGUCAAAUCAUCAUGCCCCUUAUGUCCUGGGCUACACACGUGCUACAAUGGGCGGUACAACGGGAUGCGAAGCCGCGAGGUGGAGCCAAACCCUGAAAACCGUUCGUAGUUCGGAUUGUAGGCUGCAACUCGCCUACAUGAAGCCGGAAUUGCUAGUAAUCGCGGAUCAGCAUGCCGCGGUGAAUCCGUUCCCGGGCCUUGUACACACCGCCCGUCACACCACGAGAAUGGGCAACACCCGAAGUCGGUGGGGUAACCUUUACGGGAGCUAGCCGCCGAAGGUGGGGCCUGUGAUUGGGGUGAAGU